Molecule: ribosomal RNA, 492 nt
Filed under: uncultured bacterium
Lineage: Bacteria
Description: partial 16S ribosomal RNA
Rfam family: Bacterial small subunit ribosomal RNA
Source: RNAcentral
AGUGAACGCUGGCGGUAGGCCUAACACAUGCAAGUCGAACGGCAGCACAGUAAGAGCUUGCUCUUACGGGUGGCGAGUGGCGGACGGGUGAGGAAUACAUCGGAAUCUACUUUUUCGUGGGGGAUAACGUAGGGAAACUUACGCUAAUACCGCAUACGACCUACGGGUGAAAGCAGGGGAUCUUCGGACCUUGCGCGAUUGAAUGAGCCGAUGUCGGAUUAGCUAGUUGGCGGGGUAAAGGCCCACCAAGGCGACGAUCCGUAGCUGGUCUGAGAGGAUGAUCAGCCACACUGGAACUGAGACACGGCCCAGACUCCUACGGGAGGCAGCAGUGGGGAAUAUCGGACAAUGGGCGCAAGCCUGAUCCAGCCAUACCGCGUGGGUGAAGAAGGCCUUCGGGUUGUAAAGCCCUUUUGUUGGGAAAGAAAAGCAGCAGGUUAAUACCCCGCUGUUCUGACGGUACCCAAAGAAUAAGCACCGGCUAACUUCGUG